Molecule: long non-coding RNA, 3182 nt
Organism: Helianthus annuus (common sunflower)
Lineage: Eukaryota; Viridiplantae; Streptophyta; Magnoliopsida; Asterales; Asteraceae
Exons: 6
Source: RefSeq, a predicted model, not a curated record
CAAACGGCUAUCAUUCUCCAUUCACACAAGUUUCUAAUUUUCAAAAGUUCGCAGAAACCUUACUCUCAAUUCUCUCUCUCAUUGUUCUUCGUCUCUACACAAUGAAGUUUUGGAGGCCAAAAUCUAUUUCAUUGCAUCCAAAUUUUGAAACCCGCUCCUCAUCCCAAACUUUCAUUAUCCUGCCUUAUUUACAUUUGCAAGGAGAGAACCAGAGUAAAAAAGUGAGUUAGAGAUAGGACCUGAUCGGGGGCUAGGGUUUCGAGGUUAUUUUCUUAGGCCACGACAAGGUAAUAUUAGGGAUGCGUGUGAAGGCUGACACAUGGGCGACUAUAAGGUUUGGACCACCCGGUAGGUUCAGUUCCCAAAUGGUGCAUUUGCAAGCAAGUUACCACGAAGCUGCUUCAUCGUAAAGUUCCCAAAUUAUGGCACAGUUUUUGAUGAAAUUUGUGUAAAGAUGAUGAUUUCCGGAUGAUUGGAACUAGGUAUGAGCAAAUCGUUCCCGGUACUGGUACUGAAAUUACUGAACCGAGUACUUUUUCGGUACCGGUACCCACUUUUGGGGAUUUUCGGUACUGGUACCGGUACCGGUUCGGUACCGAAUGGUACCGAGCUCAUCCCUAAUUGGAACUUUCAGUUGAUGAAUUCUUAAGGGAAUGUUGAGCAAAUCGUUCCCGGUACCCGUACCAAAAUUACUGAACCGGGUACUUUUUCGGUACCGGUACCCACUUUUGGGGAUUUUCGGUACUGUUACCGGUACCGGUUCGGUACCGAACGGUACCGAGCUCAUCCCUAAUUGGAACUUUCAAUUGAUGAAUUCUUGAGGGAAUGUGAGACUUAUAUUUUAGUUGUUUGUGUUUUAACUUGAAAAAAAUUCAUGCUCUAGACUUUCUUUGUAUGAGCCAAGUGCAAUUCAUAAUCUUGCUGAUUAUGUUGUUAAAAUUUCUUGAGUAUAACUAAUAUGAGUUAUAUGAAUUUGGUUGUGUAUCUGUGAUUCCUGUUCUGUAAUUGCAGGGUGAAACUUGAUGAUUAAUCUAAGCUUUUAAUAUUCUGUUGUUAUUUCAUGCUUGGUGAAUCAAUACAUGAUGGUUGAAGUGUAAGCGUAAGGGCAAUUGUUAGCGAUUAGGGAGUCAAUUUAUGUGACUUUUUUUCUUGUUUUACCAAAGGCUAAUGAUUUAGGAGUCACUUUGUGUGACUUUUUUUUUGCUUUACCAAUGGCUGAUGACAACCAUAAUCAGCUUGCUUCUGGUUUAGCUUUGAUAUUAGAUGGUGAAUAUAGGAUAGAGAGUGGCCAAAACGACCGUCGUAUCUUGUAUUGUAAGAUUUGGUGAGCAUUUAAUUCUAAAAGAAGCAAACUAGCCUUUAAUUCUAAAUCAAUUUAGUUUUGGGAUGAUCAGGAACCAAAGAUGGAUAGACAAUGGUUGUACGAGAAUGUGACAAAGUGUGUGCUUUGAGAUGUCUAUUGGUGGAUACAAUAGGCGAGGACUACCAGUUUACAUUAAAUUUAUUGAAUUUUAAAACGAACAAUAUAUAUUCACUAUCUCUUUUCAUUGCCUACUUAGCUUUUUUUUUUUUUUUUUUUUUUUUUUUUUUUUUUUUACAAAAUAAGCUUAACUUGGUUUGGUUUACUUUUUUAAGCUUAUGCUUAUUAGCUUAUAUAAGCUAAUUUGAAGAUGCUUCUUUAGCUUAUUUGAAGAAUGAUAGAAAAUAAGCUAUAAGCUAAUCCAAACACUUAAAAAGAGCUUAUCAAAUAAUAGAAAAUAAGCUAUAAGCUAGUUUAAGAUAUAAGCAUAACCCAAAAAAUAAAUGCUAGGCCAAACACCCCCUAAUUCAAGUAUAGCCUUGAUUGAACUGUUUUGCAUGAAAUUAACCACUCUUGGCAGAAUGUUAUACUAAAGGUUAUGCGUUUGUGACAUACAAUGUAUGUAUAGAUUGGCAGAAGAAUGUACUGAGAUGAGGUUCUCGGCUCCAAGAAUUCUUGCUUUCAAAGCAAUAUUUUAAUUAGAUUUUCUAUAAUUCAAAUAAAUAUAAAAUCUAUUGACACAUGAUUGGUAUGUAAUAGGAGGGAAACUCUCAGGCAUGGCAUUUUAAACAUGAUAUACAACUUAAAGUAGCAUAACGUUGAAAAUAUUAACAAUGGUUACUUCAUUUAGAAGGGAUUAUGGCUCUGUUGAAAUGAAAAUAUGGUAUGGUAAGGAAAUUUGUUAUCUAGGGUUUGUUUUAGUCUGCAGAUAUGGCAAGUAAAAACGUUUUUUCAAAAUGUUGUUUUGUUCUUUAAUUCGGCGUAUGCAUGUUUCUUAUAUGUAUUCAAAGUCGGUUGUUUUGUGAGGAUGUGAGGAUGACGAUCAGCUUCAAGCCUACUACUCCAGUUGAAGAAGUGAGGCUAUAUGUACAAAAGGCAUCAUAACCGACUCUUAAACAAGAGCUUGAACGGUUGAUGGUAUGAUUUGCAAUGGUCGGCUCCUAAAAUUUUGAGGCAAGAUAUGAGGUGCCCAGGAUUUGAACAAGGAUAUGUGCACGUUCAGGGUAUCCAGCAGACCCUAACGACCCAGGAUAUCAGCCUUUGGGAGCCUUUGGGAGCCUUUGGGAGCCUUUGGCCUUUGGGCUGAAACAUAUUGUGGUGGCUUACUUACCAAAGUCAAAAGCAAACAAAAAGAAGAGCCUAUUGGGGAACUCCAAAGACACCAGUGAGGAUGAUUCAGUCUCUGAGAUCAAGCAUUUUAUUGAAAGCUCAGUUGCAUCUAGCUAAGCUGGAUCAGUUAAGGCAAGCAGCCAGAACAGGGGUUGAAGUGUGUUUUAAGAAGGAAUGUGUGGAGCUAGGGACAAAAGUGGAAUUGCACAUACGUCAAGCAGAGACAAACAGAAUGAGAAUCUUGAAGUGGAAUUGCACCAACGGAAAUCGCCCUGCUCGAUUGGGCCAUCAACCUGAUGGCUGGCUGAUGUCGUCCAAUACGAGCAUCUCAACAUUGAUGAGUGAAAGCGAUUUAGUAGAUUCUAUAACUCAUUAGUAACAUAUAAACACUUUUAGUUUUGUUUGUUUUAGUAUUUAAAUUUCUAUAACUACCACUUUUAUUUGGUUGUUUGUAAGAUUGAUGUUUAUUAGUUUAACUAAGAAUCUUAAUUUGUUCACGAAUGUUUCCAUAUUGCUUUGGUAUUUGUUUGUAAAUAUUGAAUAUUUUUAUCUA